This is a small nucleolar RNA of Chinchilla lanigera (long-tailed chinchilla), 93 nucleotides long. Its record names the gene SNORD116. It matches the Rfam family "Small nucleolar RNA SNORD116". Rfam says of the family: HBII-85 is a member of the C/D class of snoRNAs, which contain the C (UGAUGA) and D (CUGA) box motifs. HBII-85 is encoded in a tandemly repeated array with another C/D snoRNA, HBII-52, in the Prader-Willi syndrome (PWS) region of chromosome 15. The record is from Ensembl. Lineage: Eukaryota; Metazoa; Chordata; Mammalia; Rodentia; Chinchillidae.
GGAUGGAUGAUGACACCAUAAUAACAUUCCAUGGAAAAGCUGAACAAAAUAAGUGGCAUCUCUAAACCGUCGUUCUCAUUGUAACUGAGAUCU